Molecule: ribosomal RNA, 433 nt
Filed under: uncultured bacterium
Lineage: Bacteria
Description: partial 16S ribosomal RNA
Rfam family: Bacterial small subunit ribosomal RNA
Source: RNAcentral
AACGAACGCUGGCGGCAUGCCUAACACAUGCAAGUCGAACGAGACCUCCGGGUCUAGGGGCGCACGGCUGCGUAACGCGUGGGAACCUGCCCUUGGGUUCGGAAUAACUCCCCGAAAGGGGUGCUAAUACCGGAUAAGGUCUUCGGACCAAAGAUUUAUCGCAUUUGGAUGGGCCCGAGUUGGAUUAGCUGGUUGGUAGGGUAAAAGCCUACCAAGGCGACGAUCCGUAGCUGGUUUGAGAGGAUGAUCAGCGACACUGGGAGUGAGACACGGCCCAGAAUCCUACGGGAAGGAGCAGUGGGGAAUAUUGGACAAUGGGCGAAAGCCUGAUCCAGCAAUGCCGCGUGAGUUAUGAAGGCCUUAGGGUUGUAAAGCUCUUUUACCCGGGAUGAUAAUGACGGUACCGGGAGAAUAAGCUCCGGCUAACUACGUG